Molecule: ribosomal RNA, 462 nt
Filed under: uncultured bacterium
Lineage: Bacteria
Description: partial 16S ribosomal RNA
Rfam family: Bacterial small subunit ribosomal RNA
Source: RNAcentral
GACGAACGCUGGCGGCGUGCUUAACACAUGCAAGUCGAACGGAAAGGCCCUUCGGGGUACUCGAGUGGCGAACGGGUGAGUAACACGUGGGUGAUCUGCCCUGCACUUUGGGAUAAGCCUGGGAAACUGGGGCUAAUACCGAAUAUGAUCAUCGGCUUCAUGGUCGGUGGUGGAAAGCUUUUGCGGUGUGGGAUGGGCCCGCGGCCUAUCAGCUUGUUGGUGGGGUAAUGGCCUACCAAGGCGACGACGGGUAGCCGGCCUGAGAGGGUGACCGGCCACACUGGGACUGAGAUACGGCCCAGACUCCUACGGGAGGCAGCAGUGGGGAAUAUUGCACAAUGGGCGCAAGCCUGAUGCAGCGACGCCGCGUGAGGGAUGACGGCCUUCGGGUUGUAAACCUCUUUCAGCACAGACGAAGCGCAAGUGACGGUAUGUGCAGAAGAAGGACCGGCCAACUACGUG